UACUUUCGCACGCUUUUCGAAAAUGAAAUUAGAGAUGACCGAUAGUUACUUCGCUGCGUUUGAAUUAAUCAUGAAAGCGAUAUCUUCAAAAUUACAUCUGAAUUGUCCUUAUAAAAUUGAAACAAGAGGCGCAGUGGUACGUUGAAUUCAUUACUUAUGAUUUGACUUAACGCAGAAGACUAACUAAACUAAGCCUGCUCGAUGAUGAGCAUGAUUCGAGUGCAGCCUGUCGAUGGUGUCGAAGGGUUAUUUCCUCGGGUUACUCACCCGGCCCGGGGAGGUCGCCACAGCCAGGCAUGACAGGCCACACUGUCACUAGUCGAACUCGGAAGUGUCCGUGUUCGAUGUUCGAGGCUUCUCUUCGGGUAGACAGGAAUAACCGUCGUUAUCUGGGGAUUUAUUUUAAAAUUUCUGACAUUUUGCUAUCAUCACCAUUUACAGAGUACGUACUUAGUGCGAGCCCGCAUAGUCCAGAUCCAGCUGGGUGAUCGGUGACCAGAUUUCACAAAAUGAAAUACGGGACAAUGCACGAGCGGAUCGACCAACCCAGCUGUUACCAUGGCAAUCAAAGUGAGAAAAAUGAUGGCAAGUUUGUGGCAAAGGAAGAGGAAGAAAGACAUACGUCAAAAGGAUAACCUGACAUCAAAGAAGUUUUAUUCCAGCUUCAGAAAAUUGCUAGUGAGCCAAGAGACAUAUCGUUUCACUUCCACCAAAAUGCUAUGGGUAUCGAUGCUGAAGAGGAUACUGCCACAAGCUAGUGGGAUACUUUCUAAAAGCUAUGUAUAACAAGGAUCAAUACCAAAGAUAAAGGAACAGGAUCAGUACCAAGGACCAGGAACAAGGAUCAGGGAUUGGACUCAGGACCAGAACCAAGGAUCAAUACUAUGGACUCAGGACCAAGACCAUGGAUCGGGACUAGAGAUCAAGACAGGACCAAGGAUCAGAACCGAGGACCAAGACUCAAGACAAGGACCAGGACCAAGAAUCAAAGCCAAGUACCUUAGAAUUCAGAGUGCAAAGAUCAAGACCAAGGACCAGGACCAAGGACAGGACUAGGGAACAGGAACAAGGAUUGGGUUCAGGACCAGGAUCAAGACCAGAAGACCAGGACAGGGAUCAAGGACCAGGGCCAAGAACAAGGAUCAAGGACCAGAACCAAGUCAUGCAUCGUGACCAAGUACCACAGAAUGCAGAUGAUCAGGACCAAGGACCAGGACUGUGGAGCUGGACCAAGGAGCAGGACCGAGGAGCAGGACCAAGGAGCAGGGCCAAGGAUCAGGACCAAGGAUCAAGACCGAGGAGCAGGACCAAGGACCAGGACCAAGCACCAGGACCAAGGAGCUGGACAGAGGAUCAGCACCGUAGAUCAGGACCAGGAACAGAGAAUCAGGAUCAAAGAUAAGCUGAAGGACCAAGGAUAGAUCAUCAGGACCAAAGACCAAGGAUAAGGACCAAGUACCAUGGAAUGCAAAAGACCGACCUCAGUGGGACCAAACCACUUCAAGAAGUGCAGGGUUGGAUUCAGUAGCCCCUCUGCCACAUGGAAGAUGCCC
Molecule: long non-coding RNA, 1553 nt
Organism: Lytechinus variegatus (green sea urchin)
Lineage: Eukaryota; Metazoa; Echinodermata; Echinoidea; Temnopleuroida; Toxopneustidae
Exons: 6
Source: RefSeq, a predicted model, not a curated record